CGGACGCUAAUACCGCAUACGUCCUACGGGAGAAAGCAGGGGACCUUCGGGCCUUGCGCUAUCAGAUGAGCCUAGGUCGGAUUAGCUAGUUGGUGAGGUAAUGGCUCACCAAGGCGACGAUCCGUAACUGGUCUGAGAGGAUGAUCAGUCACACUGGAACUGAGACACGGUCCAGACUCCUACGGGAGGCAGCAGUGGGGAAUAUUGGACAAUGGGCGAAAGCCUGAUCCAGCCAUGCCGCGUGUGUGAAGAAGGUCUUCGGAUUGUAAAGCACUUUAAGUUGGGAGGAAGGGCAUUUACCUAAUACGUGAUUGUUUUGACGUUACCGACAGAAUAAGCACCGGCUAACUCUGUGCCAGCAGCCGCGGUAAUACAGAGGGUGCAAGCGUUAAUCGGAAUUACUGGGCGUAAAGCGCGCGUAGGUGGUUUGUUAAGUUGGAUGUGAAAUCCCCGGGCUCAACCUGGGAACUGCAUCCAAAACUGGCAAGCUAAAGUAUGGUAGAGGGUGGUGGAAUUUCCUGGGAGCGGUGAAAUGCGUAGAUAUA
This 545-nucleotide ribosomal RNA is filed under the name Pseudomonas sp. LS65. Its description in RNAcentral is "bacterial SSU rRNA". It matches the Rfam family "Bacterial small subunit ribosomal RNA", at positions 157 to 698 of the family's 1533-position model. Lineage: Bacteria; Pseudomonadati; Pseudomonadota; Gammaproteobacteria; Pseudomonadales; Pseudomonadaceae. The record is from RNAcentral.